GGGUUGUGAGGUUAAGCGACUAAGCGUACACGGUGGAUGCCCUGGCAGUCAGAGGCGAUGAAGGACGUGCUAAUCUGCGAAAAGCGUCGGUAAGGUGAUAUGAACCGUUAUAGCCGGCGAUGUCCGAAUGGGGAAACCCAGUGCAAUUCGUUGCACUAUCGUUAACUGAAUACAUAGGUUAACGAGGCGAACCGGGGGAACUGAAACAUCUAAGUACCCCGAGGAAAAGAAAUCAACCGAGAUUCCCCCAGUAGCGGCGAGCGAACGGGGAGCAGCCCAGAGUCUGAAUCAGCUUGUGUGUUAGUGGAACGGUCUGGAAAGUCCGACGGUACAGGGUGAUAGUCCCGUACACCAAAAUGCACAGGCUGUGAACUCGAAGAGUAGGGCGGGACACGUGGUAUCCUGUCUGAAUAUGGGGGGACCAUCCUCCAAGGCUAAAUACUCCUGACUGACCGAUAGUGAACCAGUACCGUGAGGGAAAGGCGAAAAGAACCCCGGCGAGGGGAGUGAAAAAGAACCUGAAACCGUGUACGUACAAGCAGUGGGAGCACCUUCGGGUGUGACUGCGUACCUUUUGUAUAAUGGGUCAGCGACUUAUAUUCUGUAGCAAGGUUAACCGUAUAGGGGAGCCGCAGGGAAACCGAGUCUUAACUGGGCGUUAAGUUGCAGGGUAUAGACCCGAAACCCGGUGAUCUAGCCAUGGGCAGGUUGAAGGUUGGGUAACACUAACUGGAGGACCGAACCGACUAAUGUUGAAAAAUUAGCGGAUGACUUGUGGCUGGGGGUGAAAGGCCAAUCAAACCGGGAGAUAGCUGGUUCUCCCCGAAAGCUAUUUAGGUAGCGCCUCGUGAACUCAUCUUCGGGGGUAGAGCACUGUUUCGGCUAGGGGGUCAUCCCGACUUACCAACCCGAUGCAAACUACGAAUACCGAAGAAUGUUAUCACGGGAGACACACGGCGGGUGCUAACGUCCGUCGUGAAGAGGGAAACAACCCAGACCGCCAGCUAAGGUCCCAAAGUCAUGGUUAAGUGGGAAACGAUGUGGGAAGGCACAGACAGCCAGGAUGUUGGCUUAGAAGCAGCCAUCAUUUAAAGAAAGCGUAAUAGCUCACUGGUCGAGUCGGCCUGCGCGGAAGAUGUAACGGGGCUAAACCAUGCACCGAAGCUGCGGCAGCGACACUAUGUGUUGUUGGGUAGGGGAGCGUUCUGUAAGCCUGCGAAGGUGUGCUGUGAGGCAUGCUGGAGGUAUCAGAAGUGCGAAUGCUGACAUAAGUAACGAUAAAGCGGGUGAAAAGCCCGCUCGCCGGAAGACCAAGGGUUCCUGUCCAACGUUAAUCGGGGCAGGGUGAGUCGACCCCUAAGGCGAGGCCGAAAGGCGUAGUCGAUGGGAAACAGGUUAAUAUUCCUGUACUUGGUGUUACUGCGAAGGGGGGACGGAGAAGGCUAUGUUAGCCGGGCGACGGUUGUCCCGGUUUAAGCAUGUAGGCUGAUUGUCCAGGCAAAUCCGGAUAAUCAAGGCUGAGGUGUGAUGACGAGGCACUACGGUGCUGAAGUAACAAAUGCCCUGCUUCCAGGAAAAGCCUCUAAGCAUCAGGUAACAUCAAAUCGUACCCCAAACCGACACAGGUGGUCAGGUAGAGAAUACCAAGGCGCUUGAGAGAACUCGGGUGAAGGAACUAGGCAAAAUGGUGCCGUAACUUCGGGAGAAGGCACGCUGGUGUGUAGGUGAAGCCCCUGCGGGUGGAGCUGAGACCAGUCGAAGAUACCAGCUGGCUGCAACUGUUUAUUAAAAACACAGCACUGUGCAAACACGAAAGUGGACGUAUACGGUGUGACGCCUGCCCGGUGCCGGAAGGUUAAUUGAUGGGGUUAUCCGUAAGGAGAAGCUCUUGAUCGAAGCCCCGGUAAACGGCGGCCGUAACUAUAACGGUCCUAAGGUAGCGAAAUUCCUUGUCGGGUAAGUUCCGACCUGCACGAAUGGCGUAAUGAUGGCCAGGCUGUCUCCACCCGAGACUCAGUGAAAUUGAACUCGCUGUGAAGAUGCAGUGUACCCGCGGCAAGACGGAAAGACCCCGUGAACCUUUACUAUAGCUUGACACUGAACAUUGAGCCUUGAUGUGUAGGAUAGGUGGGAGGCUUUGAAGCGUGGACGCCAGUCUGCGUGGAGCCAACCUUGAAAUACCACCCUUUAAUGUUUGAUGUUCUAACGUUGGCCCCUUACCGGGGUUGCGGACAGUGUCUGGUGGGUAGUUUGACUGGGGCGGUCUCCUCCCAAAGCGUAACGGAGGAGCACGAAGGUUAGCUAAUCCUGGUCGGACAUCAGGAGGUUAGUGCAAUGGCAUAAGCUAGCUUGACUGCGAGCGUGACGGCGCGAGCAGGUGCGAAAGCAGGUCAUAGUGAUCCGGUGGUUCUGAAUGGAAGGGCCAUCGCUCAACGGAUAAAAGGUACUCCGGGGAUAACAGGCUGAUACCGCCCAAGAGUUCAUAUCGACGGCGGUGUUUGGCACCUCGAUGUCGGCUCAUCACAUCCUGGGGCUGAAGUAGGUCCCAAGGGUAUGGCUGUUCGCCAUUUAAAGUGGUACGCGAGCUGGGUUUAGAACGUCGUGAGACAGUUCGGUCCCUAUCUGCCGUGGGCGCUGGAGAAUUGAGGGGGGCUGCUCCUAGUACGAGAGGACCGGAGUGGACGCAUCACUGGUGUUCGGGUUGUCAUGCCAAUGGCACUGCCCGGUAGCUAAAUGCGGAAGAGAUAAGUGCUGAAAGCAUCUAAGCACGAAACUUGCCCCGAGAUGAGUUCUCCCUGAGACUUUAAGUCUCCUGAAGGAACGUUGAAGACGACGACGUUGAUAGGCCGGGUGUGUAAGCGCAGCGAUGCGUUGAGCUAACCGGUACUAAUGAACCGUGAGGCUUAACCUUACAACGCCGAAG
This 2923-nucleotide ribosomal RNA is filed under the name Klebsiella pneumoniae. Its description in RNAcentral is "bacterial LSU rRNA". It matches the Rfam family "Bacterial large subunit ribosomal RNA". Lineage: Bacteria; Pseudomonadati; Pseudomonadota; Gammaproteobacteria; Enterobacterales; Enterobacteriaceae. The record is from RNAcentral.